RNAcentral lists this ribosomal RNA (253 nucleotides) under uncultured bacterium. RNAcentral describes it as "partial 16S ribosomal RNA". It matches the Rfam family "Bacterial small subunit ribosomal RNA", at positions 524 to 776 of the family's 1533-position model. The record is from RNAcentral.
UACGGAGGGUGCAAACGUUGCUCGGAAUCAUUGGGCGUAAAGCGCACGUAGGUGGCCUGUUAAGUCGGGUGUGAAAUCCCUGGGCUCAACCCAGGAAGUGCACUCGAAACUGGCAGGCUUGAGUACUGAAGAGGGUCGCGGAAUUCCCGGUGUAGAGGUGAAAUUCGUAGAUAUCGGGAGGAACACCAGUGGCGAAGGUGGCGACCUGGGCAGAUACUGACACUGAGGUGCGAAAGCGUGGGGAGCAAACAGG